GUUCCUGUAGCGCAAUGGAUAGCGCGUUGGACUUCUAAUCCAAAGGUCGUGGGUUCGAAUCCUACUUGGUACG
RNAcentral lists this transfer RNA (73 nucleotides) under Trichonephila clavata. It matches the Rfam family "tRNA". From Rfam's summary of the family: Transfer RNA (tRNA) molecules are approximately 80 nucleotides in length. Their secondary structure includes four short double-helical elements and three loops (D, anti-codon, and T loops). The record is from Rfam by way of RNAcentral. Lineage: Eukaryota; Metazoa; Arthropoda; Arachnida; Araneae; Nephilidae.